GUUCUCCGGCUGGAGGAGCUUCCUCUCUGCAGCUGCAGGAUGGAAGCUCCUCGGAUCGACAGCAGCGGCCAGCGCAGCAGCAGACAGUGCAUGGCCACGGAGAGCAUCAACGGAGAGCUGCGGGCGUGCACCAGCUGGACGGUGAAAGGCGAGACCAUGCGACCGUCCAGCCGCGUCUCCCUCAUGGUGCUCUGCGACGUCCAUCGCUCACACAUGGUCAAACACCACUGCUGUCCGGGCUGUGGGUACUUCUGCAUCGCAGGCACGUUUCUGGAGUGCUGUCCCGACCAGCGCAUCGCGCACCGCUUCCACCGCGGCUGCGUGACCGUGCUGAGCAGCGGGCGCAGCCGCGCCAACGGCGGCGGCAUGAUCUUCUGCCCCCACUGCGGGGAGGACGCCUCGGAGGCCCAGGAGAUCACCCUCCCGUCCUCCAGCGCCGCCGCCACCGUCGUCACCAUGUCCGCCUCCUCCACCACCACGCCGUCGCUGCCCCUGCCGCCCCCUCCGGCCCCUCCCUCAACCGUGGGGCCGUCGCUAUGCAUGCCGAACGGGAAGCCGGUCUGCCCGAGCGCGCUUCCGCCUGGAACCAGCAGGGCGGCGCUGCAGAAAGCAAUUCUGACCCAGGACUCAGAGAGGAGGAAGAAGUUGAGGUUUCACCCUCGACAACUCUAUCCAGCCGCCAAGCAAGGGGAGGGGCAAAGAGUUCUGCUGAUGCUGAUGGAGGGAAUCGAUCCCACGUACCAGCCGGACUCCCAGAAUCGGCGCUCCGCUCUACACGCUGCAGCUCAAAGAGGUUUACUGGAGAUCUGCUACAUGCUGAUACAGGCCGGCGCCAACGUGGACGCCAAGGACAAAGAAAUGAGGACUCCUCUGCUGGAGGCCGUCAUCAACAACCACGUGGAGGUGGCCCGCUACCUGGUCCAGAGCGGAGCCUGCGUCUAUCACGUCGUGAGUGCCGGGACUCGAACGCGACGACGGAUACACCGGCCUUCACCACGCCGCCAAGACAACGGGGGCUGGACGCCCAUCAUCUGGGCUGCCGAGCACAAACACGUGGAGGUGAUCAAGGCUCUGCUGAACCGAGGAGCAGACGUCUCCAUCACGGAUAAGGAGAUGAACGUUUGUCUCCACUGGGCGGCGUACGCGGGAAGUGUGGACAUCGCCGAGAUGGUGUUGAACUCCGGCUGCUCGCUCGCCUCCGUCAACGUCCACGGCGACACGCCGCUGCACAUCGCCGCCAGGGAGGGAUACCUGGACUGUGUGACGUUGUUCCUCAGCAGAGGUGCAGACAUCGACAUCAUGAACAAAGAGGGGGACACGCCGCUCAGCCUGGCCCGGGCCGACACCCCCGUCGUUUGGCCGGCUCUCCGUCACGCUUCCCGCCGCGUCUUUAGGGACAUCGCCCAAGGCUACGAGAACGUGCCCAUCCCCUGCGUGAACGGCGUGGACGAGGAGGGCUGCCCGUCCGACUACAAAUACGUUUCGGAGAACUGCGAAACAUCGGCCAUGAACAUCGACCGGAACAUCACGCACCUGCAGCACUGCGGCUGCACGGACGACUGCUCCUCCAGUAACUGCCUCUGUGGGCAGCUCAGCAUCCGGUGCUGGUACGACAAGGACCAGCGGCUGCUGCAGGAGUUCAACAAGAUCGAGCCUCCGCUCAUCUUUGAGUGCAACAUGGCGUGCUCCUGUUACCGCAGCUGCAAGAACAGAGUGGUUCAGGCCGGCAUCAAAGUCCGGCUGCAGCUCUACAGGACGGAGAAGAUGGGCUGGGGGGUCCGAGCUCUGCAGGACAUCCCCCAAGGGAGCUUCAUCUGCGAGUACGUCGGAGAGCUGAUUUCUGACGCCGAGGCCGACGUCCGAGAAGACGACUCCUACCUGUUCGACCUGGAUAACAAGGACGGGGAGGUGUACUGCAUAGACGCCCGUUACUACGGCAACAUCAGCCGCUUCAUCAACCACCUGUGCGACCCGAACCUCAUCCCGGUGCGGGUCUUCAUGCUGCACCAGGACCUGCGCUUCCCGCGCAUCGCCUUCUUCAGCUCGCGGGACAUCCUGAGCGGGCAGGAGCUGGGGUUCGACUACGGCGACCGCUUCUGGGACAUCAAGAGCAAGUACUUCACCUGCCAGUGCGGCUCGGAGAAAUGCAAACACUCGGCCGAGGCCAUCGCCCUGGAGCAGAGCAGGCUGGCCCGGCUGGAGGCCGGAUCGGAGUCGGGGGAUUUAACGUCUGCGUUAACUUCUUCACUUCCUCGUAAAGAUUUAUGA
This is a long non-coding RNA of Oryzias javanicus (javanese ricefish), 2268 nucleotides long. The record is from Ensembl. NCBI's taxonomy places the organism in Eukaryota, Metazoa, Chordata, Actinopteri, Beloniformes, Adrianichthyidae.